This 529-nucleotide ribosomal RNA is filed under the name uncultured bacterium. RNAcentral's name for it is "bacterial SSU rRNA". It matches the Rfam family "Bacterial small subunit ribosomal RNA", at positions 980 to 1509 of the family's 1533-position model. The record is from RNAcentral.
CUUGACAUCCAGCGAACUUUCCAGAGAUGGAUUGGUGCCUUCGGGAACGCUGAGACAGGUGCUGCAUGGCUGUCGUCAGCUCGUGUUGUGAAAUGUUGGGUUAAGUCCCGNAACGAGCGCAACCCUUAUCCUUUGUUGCCAGCGAUUCGGUCGGGAACUCAAAGGAGACUGCCGGUGAUAAACCGGAGGAAGGUGGGGAUGACGUCAAGUCAUCAUGGCCCUUACGAGUAGGGCUACACACGUGCUACAAUGGCGCAUACAAAGAGAAGCGACCUCGCGAGAGCAAGCGGACCUCAUAAAGUGCGUCGUAGUCCGGAUCGGAGUCUGCAACUCGACUCCGUGAAGUCGGAAUCGCUAGUAAUCGUGGAUCAGAAUGCCACGGUGAAUACGUUCCCGGGCCUUGUACACACCGCCCGUCACACCAUGGGAGUGGGUUGCAAAAGAAGUAGGUAGCUUAACCUUCGGGAGGGCGCUUACCACUUUGUGAUUCAUGACUGGGGUGAAGUCGUAACAAGGUAAGCGUAGCGAG